Non-coding RNA from Acanthosepion pharaonis, 113 nucleotides. Lineage: Eukaryota; Metazoa; Mollusca; Cephalopoda; Sepiida; Sepiidae. The record is from the annotation of a GenBank genome assembly.
UUACGGCCAUAUCACGUUAAAACAUCAGUUCCCAUACGAUCACUAAAUUUAAGCAAAGUCGAGCCUGUCAGUACCUAGAUCGGUGACCGCUUGGGAAUAACAGGUACUGUAAU